UUACUAGCUCCCUCCGUCCGGAAAUACUUGUCCUAGAAAUGUAUAAAAUGAAUGUAUCUAUAACUAAAAUAAGUCUAGUUACAUCUACUUUUUGGACAAGUAUUUCCGGACGGAGGGAGUAUGUU
This is a non-coding RNA of Hordeum vulgare subsp. vulgare (domesticated barley), 125 nucleotides long. Lineage: Eukaryota; Viridiplantae; Streptophyta; Magnoliopsida; Poales; Poaceae. The record is from Rfam.